Molecule: long non-coding RNA, 461 nt
Organism: Nothoprocta perdicaria
Lineage: Eukaryota; Metazoa; Chordata; Aves; Tinamiformes; Tinamidae
Exons: 3
Source: RefSeq, a predicted model, not a curated record
AUUCUUCAUUUCAUGAUAUGUCAGUGUGAAAAUGAGAAAUUGGAAGUACAAUAAAUUCAAAAUGUCGAUGUUCCAAGUGAAACAAAGGAAUCCCCAACUGAAUAUAUGGAGGCAGCUUCAGAUAGCAAAGUCUUGCUAAUUAUUUGCCUCUCAGCCCUGCUCGAGGCUGUCAUGGAUACCCAAUCCGUGAUGAAUUGUGAGCCUCUUCAGGAAAUUACCAUCUACAAGGGCACCCUGUCAGAAGGAGGGAGAGAGUUUACACUGAUAUGCAAGUUACAUUUAAGAAGAACUGAAAGUCUCAGACAGCGUAAGGCAAACUCUAGAACAAGCUGUCAGAACAGUGCAACCUUUAAUAUUCAUAUAUCUAUUCAGGAUGCAUCACUGCAUAAUGCGUAUUGCAGUCAUCAGAAACACAUGUUUAGCAGCUAGAAACAGUAAAAUAACUUGUUAAAGCUAAAAUG